Molecule: ribosomal RNA, 494 nt
Filed under: uncultured bacterium
Lineage: Bacteria
Description: partial 16S ribosomal RNA
Rfam family: Bacterial small subunit ribosomal RNA
Source: RNAcentral
GACGAACGCUGGCGGCGUGCUUAACACAUGCAAGUCGAACGGUGAAGCGCCUUCCUUUUUGGUGGGUGUGGAUGAGUGGCGAACGGGUGAGUAACACGUGAGUAACCUGCCCCCUUCUUCUGGAUAACCGCAUGAAAGUGUGGCUAAUACGGGAUAUUCUGGGUCUGUCGCAUGAUGGGUCUGGGAAAGAUAUUGUUUCGGUGGGGGAUGGGCUCGCGGCCUAUCAGCUUGUUGGUGGGGAGAUGGCCUACCAAGGCGGUGACGGGUAGCCGGCCUGGGAGGGUGGACGGUCACGCUGGGACUGAGACACGGCCCAGACUCCUACGGGAGGCAGCAGUGGGGAAUAUUGCACGAUGGGAGUAAGCCUGAUGCAGCGACGCCGCGUGAGGGAUGGAGGCCUUCGGGUUGUGAACCUCUUUCGCCAGUGAAGCAGGCCUGCCUCGUUUGUGGGUGGGUUGACGGUAGCUGGAUAAGAAGCGCCGGCUAACUACGUG